This is a small nucleolar RNA of Grammomys surdaster, 142 nucleotides long. RefSeq annotates it as small nucleolar RNA SNORA48. NCBI's taxonomy places the organism in Eukaryota, Metazoa, Chordata, Mammalia, Rodentia, Muridae. The transcript has a single exon. The record is from RefSeq and is a predicted model, not a curated record.
AGCCCCCUGGCAAUGGGCAAAGAGAUACCUUGUUGGUGUUGUUCUUAUAUCAGUCAGGUGCAGAACAGAUAGCAGUCUUUUGUUCAUCCUAGCUUGAUGCCUGACUUGGGGGCCAAAGUUGUUUUAAGCCUAGGACUCAUAA